This 72-nucleotide transfer RNA is filed under the name Camelus bactrianus (Bactrian camel). It matches the Rfam family "tRNA". From Rfam's summary of the family: Transfer RNA (tRNA) molecules are approximately 80 nucleotides in length. Their secondary structure includes four short double-helical elements and three loops (D, anti-codon, and T loops). The record is from Rfam by way of RNAcentral. RNAcentral also lists the same sequence under 1 other name. Lineage: Eukaryota; Metazoa; Chordata; Mammalia; Artiodactyla; Camelidae.
GUGGGAAUAGCUCAGUGGUAGAGCGCAUGCUUAGCAUGCAUGAGGUCCUGGGUUCAAUCCCUAGUACCUCCA